GACAUUAUGGCAGACAAUGAGACAAUAAGGGACAUUGGGAGAUGUUAUGGAAGACACUGAGACACUAAGGGACAUUGGGAGACGUCUCCCAAUGUCCCUUAAUGUCUCAGUGUCUUCCAUAAUGUCUCCCAAUGUCCCUUAGUGUCUCAUUGUCUGCCAUAAUGUCU
Molecule: non-coding RNA, 167 nt
Organism: Pelobates cultripes (western spadefoot toad)
Lineage: Eukaryota; Metazoa; Chordata; Amphibia; Anura; Pelobatidae
Source: the annotation of a GenBank genome assembly